Ailuropoda melanoleuca (giant panda) is the source of this 549-nucleotide long non-coding RNA. RefSeq lists it as uncharacterized. Lineage: Eukaryota; Metazoa; Chordata; Mammalia; Carnivora; Ursidae. The record is from RefSeq and is a predicted model, not a curated record. The transcript is spliced from 3 exons.
GAAAUCAGGUUCUAUGUGUGCUUCUCUAACGACACGAUGCACAGCUCUCCAGCCCUGCAAACAGCUUGUGGAGCACUCUGUGGAACAAAAUGGAUGCAACUGGAUUAGAGGCUGAAUCAAUUGGCAAAGGUCGAUGAUUUAAUCAAUCAUGCCUGCAUGAUGAAGACUCCAUAAAAAGCCAAGAGGACAGUGUUUAGAGAGCGUCUGGGGUUGAUGAACAAAGGGAGAUGCGGGGCAGCCCACUCAUCGAACAGAGAAACUCCACACUCCUUCCCACGUACCUUGUCCUCUGUGUCUCUUCCAUCUGGCUGUUCCUGAGUUGUAUCCUUUCACAAUAAACUGGUACUCAAGUAGAUCCCGUCAGUACCUGGAUGAACCACAGGGUGCCCAGCUGGAGGCGGAGAAUCAGCAUCAGCAUUGGAGGUGGAUGGAACAGAACAAAAUAAAAUUGUAUCCUGCACUACAAGUAACACAAAAAUUCUAGCAUAGGGGUGUCUGGGUGGCUCAGUCAUUAAGCGUCUGCCUUCAGCUCAGGGUGUGUUCCCAGGG